Molecule: ribosomal RNA, 440 nt
Filed under: uncultured bacterium
Lineage: Bacteria
Description: bacterial SSU rRNA
Rfam family: Bacterial small subunit ribosomal RNA
Source: RNAcentral
CCUACGGGGGGCAGCAGUGGGGAAUAUUGCACAAUGGGGGAAACCCUGAUGCAGCAACGCCGCGUGAGUGAUGACGGCCUUCGGGUUGUAAAGCUCUGUCUUCAGGGACGAUAAUGACGGUACCUGAGGAGGAAGCCACGGCUAACUACGUGCCAGCAGCCGCGGUAAUACGUAGGUGGCGAGCGUUGUCCGGAUUUACUGGGCGUAAAGGGAGCGUAGGCGGAUUUUUAAGUGAGAUGUGAAAUACUCGGGCUUAACCUGAGUGCUGCAUUUCAAACUGGAAGUCUAGAGUGCAGGAGAGGAGAAGGGAAUUCCUAGUGUAGCGGUGAAAUGCGUAGAGAUUAGGAAGAACACCAGUGGCGAAGGCGCUUCUCUGGACUGUAACUGACGCUGAGGCUCGAAAGCGUGGGGAGCAAACAGGAUUAGAUACCCCCGUAGUC